Molecule: non-coding RNA, 186 nt
Organism: Drosophila melanogaster (fruit fly)
Lineage: Eukaryota; Metazoa; Arthropoda; Insecta; Diptera; Drosophilidae
Source: Rfam
CCUUCGAUAGCUCAGUUGGUAGAGCGGUGGACUGUAGAGUUUCCGAGGCUUGGUGAUGCGAGCAGAGGCAGGACUCUGGGCCAAACAAUACCAUGGCCCCAGAUAGCGCUUGCUCUUGUUUCAUCAGUUAGUGAAUCGCGAUAUGUUGAAAUCCAUAGGUCGCUGGUUCAAAUCCGGCUCGAAGGA